UUGAAUCACCUGUUCACGUACGACCACUGAAGUUAAGCAACAUCGAACCUGGUCAGUAACUAGAUGGGUGACCACUUGGGAAUACCUG
Non-coding RNA from Acanthosepion pharaonis, 88 nucleotides. Lineage: Eukaryota; Metazoa; Mollusca; Cephalopoda; Sepiida; Sepiidae. The record is from the annotation of a GenBank genome assembly.